RNAcentral lists this ribosomal RNA (468 nucleotides) under uncultured bacterium. RNAcentral's name for it is "partial 16S ribosomal RNA". It matches the Rfam family "Bacterial small subunit ribosomal RNA", at positions 28 to 523 of the family's 1533-position model. The record is from RNAcentral.
GAUGAACGCUGGCGGCGUGCCUAACACAUGCAAGUCGAGCGAUCUUCUUCGGAAGAGAGCGGCGGACGGGUGAGUAACGCGUGGGUAACCUGCCCUGUACACACGGAUAACAUACCGAAAGGUAUGCUAAUACGAGAUAAUAUGCUUUUAUCGCAUGGUAGAAGUAUCAAAGCUCUUGUGGUACAGGAUGGACCCGCGUCUGAUUAGCUAGUUGGUAAGGUAACGGCUUACCAAGGCGACGAUCAGUAGCCGACCUGAGAGGGUGAUCGGCAACAUUGGAACUGAGACACGGUCCAAACUCCUACGGGAGGCAGCAGUGGGGAAUAUUGCACAAUGGGCGAAAGCCUGAUGCAGCAACGCCGCGUGAGCGAUGAAGGCCUUCGGGUCGUAAAGCUCUGUCCUCAAGGAAGAUAAUGACGGUACUUGAGGAGGAAGCCCCGGCUAACUACGUGCCAGCCGCCGCCGUAA